UGAAACGGGCGGCAAAGCCCAUCUCCCC
This 28-nucleotide non-coding RNA is filed under the name Rattus norvegicus (Norway rat). The record is from RNAcentral. Lineage: Eukaryota; Metazoa; Chordata; Mammalia; Rodentia; Muridae.